Molecule: small nuclear RNA, 107 nt
Organism: Cricetulus griseus (Chinese hamster)
Lineage: Eukaryota; Metazoa; Chordata; Mammalia; Rodentia; Cricetidae
Source: Ensembl
GUGCUCACUUCGGCAGCACAUAUACUAAAAUAAUUGGAACGAUACAGAGAUUAGUAUGGCCCCUGAGCAAGGAUGACAUGCAAAUUUGUGAAGCGUCCCAAAAAAAC